AAAAUAUCGAAAGAACCACAACAGUCUGUUUCAUCCGUAUAGGAAUCAUCAGGUGGUGAAUCUCCUGAUGAUUCCUAUAUACGGAUGAAACAGACUGUUGUGGUUCUUUGA
Non-coding RNA from Paramuricea clavata, 111 nucleotides. Lineage: Eukaryota; Metazoa; Cnidaria; Anthozoa; Malacalcyonacea; Plexauridae. The record is from the annotation of a GenBank genome assembly.